GAGGGUAUAGCUCAGUGGUAGAGCACAUGCUUAGCAUGCACAAGGUCCUGGGUUCAAUCCCCAGUGCCUCCU
Molecule: transfer RNA, 72 nt
Filed under: Camelus bactrianus (Bactrian camel)
Lineage: Eukaryota; Metazoa; Chordata; Mammalia; Artiodactyla; Camelidae
Also listed under: 1 other name
Rfam family: tRNA
About the family: Transfer RNA (tRNA) molecules are approximately 80 nucleotides in length. Their secondary structure includes four short double-helical elements and three loops (D, anti-codon, and T loops).
Source: Rfam by way of RNAcentral